RNAcentral lists this small RNA (21 nucleotides) under Arabidopsis thaliana (thale cress). Its description in RNAcentral is "Ath_wt_13704". Lineage: Eukaryota; Viridiplantae; Streptophyta; Magnoliopsida; Brassicales; Brassicaceae. The record is from RNAcentral.
UGUUUUUGGUCCCAAGGCUCG